AUGCUCCAGGCCUCUCUCCUUCUCACCAUCCUCACUUAUUGCUCAGGUUCCUUCGCCCAGUUUGUGGUGACGCAGCCUCCAUCGGUGUCAGCGUCUCUGGGCCAAAAUGUCCAAAUCAUUUGCUCGGGGACCCACAUUCCAAUGGGCCGUCAGCAGUGGUACCAGCAGGAACCUGGCAAGGACCCUGUCCUCAUUAUAUACAGUGGAAAUAUCAGGCCAACGGGGAUCUCCGACAGGUACUCUGGCUCCGUGUCUGGCAACACAGCCACAUUAACCAUCGCCAGGGCCCAAGCACAGGAUGAGGGACAUUAUCACUGCCUGUUGUGGGACAGUGGGGCCGACCAUGUUGUCCUCCUUUUUGGUUUCCAAAAUAUGGUCACCCUACUCUCCUUCACCAUUGAAACCCACUUGCACACCUGCCUCUUGUUCUGGGCCAGACAACAGUGGUGGACAGAAGGAUGA
Molecule: non-coding RNA, 462 nt
Organism: Elgaria multicarinata webbii
Lineage: Eukaryota; Metazoa; Chordata; Lepidosauria; Squamata; Anguidae
Source: the annotation of a RefSeq genome assembly